This 93-nucleotide small RNA is filed under the name Manihot esculenta (cassava). RNAcentral's name for it is "precursor microRNA miR399i". The record is from RNAcentral. Lineage: Eukaryota; Viridiplantae; Streptophyta; Magnoliopsida; Malpighiales; Euphorbiaceae.
UUGCUGAGCAAGUCUUCUCUGUCAGAUCACUGAUAUCCACCAACCUACAUUUGCUAUGGUUGGUGGAGUCUCUGCCAAAGGAGAUUUGCUCAC